UGGAUCCAGACUUUGAUUCUGGCUCAGGAUAAACGCUGGCGGCGCACAUAAGACAUGCAAGUCGAACGGACUUAACUCAUUCUUUUAGAUUGAGAGCGGUUAGUGGCGGACUGGUGAGUAACACGUAAGCAACCCGCCUAUCAGAGGGGAAUAACAGUGAGAAAUCAUUGCUAAUACCGCAUAAGCUAGUAAUAUCACAUGAUAUAGCUAGAAAAGGAGCAAUCCGCUGAUAGAUGGGCUUGCGUCUGAUUAGCUAGUUGGUGGGGUAACGGCCUACCAAGGCGACGAUCAGUAGCCGAACUGAGAGGUUGAACGGCCACAUUGGGACUGAGGUACGGCCCAGACUCCUACGGGAGGCAGCAGUCGGGAAUAUUGCGCAAUGGAGGAAACUCUGACGCAGUGACGCCGCGUAUAGGAAGAAGGUUUUCGGAUUGUAAACUAUUGUCGUGAGGGAAGAAAUUGACAGUACCUCAGGAGGAAGCUCCGGCUAACUAUGUGCCAGCAGCCGCGGUAAUACAUAGGGAGCAAGCGUUAUCCGGAAUUAUUGGGUGUAAAGGGUGCGUAGACGGGAAAUUAAGUUAGUUGUGAAAUCCCUUGGCUUAACUGAGGAACUGCAACUAAAACUGGUUUUCUUGAGUAUUGGAGAGGAAAGUGGAAUUCCUAGUGUAGCGGUGAAAUGCGUAGAUAUUAGGAGGAACACCAGUGGCGAAGGCGACUUUCUGGACAAUAACUGACGUUGAGGCACGAAAGUGUGGGGAGCAAACAGGAUUAGAUACCCUGGUAGUCCACACUGUAAACGAUGGAUACUAGGUGUAGGGUGUAUUAAGCACUCUGUGCCGCCGCAAACGCAUUAAGUAUCCCACCUGGGGAGUACGACCGCAAGGUUGCAACUCAAAGGAAUUGACGGA
This 908-nucleotide ribosomal RNA is filed under the name uncultured Bacillota bacterium. Its description in RNAcentral is "bacterial SSU rRNA". It matches the Rfam family "Bacterial small subunit ribosomal RNA", at positions 1 to 917 of the family's 1533-position model. Lineage: Bacteria; Bacillati; Bacillota. The record is from RNAcentral.